AUUGGGAUUUGGAGUAGGUUUAGGUUUAGGGAUUUGAGAAUAUGUUAAGGUUUAGGUUUAGGAAAUCGGGUUUGAGUUUGGGAUCGUGUUUAGGCUUGGGUUUUCAAGUUUAGUUUUAGGUUUAGGUUAGGGAGUUGAGAUUGGGAUUUGGUGUAGGUUUAGGUUUAGGGAUUUGAGAAUAGGUUAAGGUUUAGGUUUAGGUUUAGGAAAUCGGGUUCGGGUUCGGGAUCGUGUUUAGGCUUGGGUUUUCAAGUUUAGUUUUAGGUUUAGGUUAGGGAGUUGAGAAUGGGAUUUGGUGUAGGUUUAGGUUUAGGGAUUUGAGAAUAGGUUAAGGUUUAGGAAAUCGGGUUCGAGUUUAGGCUUGGGUUUUCAAGUUUAGGUUUAGGUUUAGGUUAGGGAGUUGAGAUUGGGAUUUGGUGUAGGUUUAGGUUUAGGGAUUUGAGAAUAUGUUAAGGUUUAGGUUUAGGAAAUCGGGUUUGGGUUCGGGAUCGGGUUUAGGCUUGGGUUUUCAAGUUUCGGUUUAGGUUUAGGUUAGGGAGUUGAAAUUGGGAUUAGGUGUAGGUUUAGGUUUAGGGAUUUGAGAAUACAUUUAGGUUUAGGUUUAGGUUUAGGUUUUAGCUUAUAGGUUUAGGUUAUAGGUUUAGGUUUUGGUUUUAGGUUUAGGUUAUAAGUUUAAGUUAUAAGUUAUAGGUUAUAGGUUUUGGUUUAGGUUAAGCUUUUGGUUAUAGGUUUAGGUUAUAGGUUAAGGUUAUAGGUUUAGGUUAGGUUUAUGUUUAGGUUAUAGGUUAUAGCUUUGGGAAUUGAGAAUAGGUUAAGGUUUAGGUUUAGGAAAUCGGGUUCGGGUUCGGUAUCGGGUUUAGGCUUGGGUUUUCAAGUUUAGGUUUAGGUUUAGGUUAGGGAGUUGAGAUUGGGAUUAGGUGUAGGUUUAGGUUUAGGGAUUUAAGAAUACAUUUAAGUUUUAGGUUUAGGUUUAGGUUUAGGUUUUAGCUUAUAGGUUUAGGUUAUAGG
Long non-coding RNA from Magnolia sinica, 1008 nucleotides. RefSeq lists it as uncharacterized. The record is from RefSeq and is a predicted model, not a curated record. The transcript is spliced from 4 exons. Lineage: Eukaryota; Viridiplantae; Streptophyta; Magnoliopsida; Magnoliales; Magnoliaceae.